UGCGUAGGCGGCUUGCUAAGUCAGUGGUGAAAUCGUCCGGCCCAACCGGACACGUGCCAAUGAUACUGGUGAGCUUGAGUGCGUGAGGGGUAGGGGGAACGAGCAGUGUAGCGGUGAAAUGCGUAGAUAUUGCUCGGAAGGCCAAAGCCGAAGGGACCCUACUGGUGCGCAACUGACGCUGAGGCACGAAAGCGUGGGAGCAAACA
RNAcentral lists this ribosomal RNA (206 nucleotides) under uncultured bacterium. Its description in RNAcentral is "partial 16S ribosomal RNA". It matches the Rfam family "Bacterial small subunit ribosomal RNA", at positions 568 to 774 of the family's 1533-position model. The record is from RNAcentral.